GGACUUCUUCUACGCGGAGAGCUCGGCCGGGAUGAAGUCGCUGGGCACCGCCAUCUCGUGGUGCUCCUUGGCGUUCGGCUACUACACCAGCACUGUGGUGGUGAAUGUGGUGAACAAGGCCAGCGGGGGAUGGCUGUCGAGCAACAACCUCAACACAGACAGAUUGGAGUAUUUCUACUGGUUGCUUGCGCUCUUGAGCGUUCUAAACUUCGGGGUGUAUUUGCUAUGCGCGUCGUGGUACAAAUACAAGAAGCUGCAAACGGAGAAGGCACCAGGCGCCUCUGUCGAUUAUGUCGAGGAAAGAAUUGAUAAGAGUGUUAGUAGGAAUUCCAGCCCCUAAAAUGUUACAUAUGGAGAUAUAUAUACAUCACUCGUUACAGAAAAAUAAAUCAUCAGCAAACUGAAAUUACUACUCUCAAACAUGUUUGAUCAUGUAUCAUCUAAAUUUCCAAAGCAGCAAAUAUAGGGUUGCGUACAUAAUCUGACUAGCUGCUAUUCGACUGUAGAUUUGUAAAAAAUCAUAGUAAAAAAUGAGAACCCAAGUGUAUAUAGUUUGUCUAUGUUGAGAAAUACAAUUGUGCACUCUAUACGAUAAUAAUUUUGAGCAUAGACUACAUCGCAAUAAGACUUUGCACUCGCACGUAUCUACUAGAGCUAGUUUGGCUAAUGCAAUUUGGAAUGUGAUGCUGUUUCGGUUGUUGUAUUUCUAAUCACCCUCCAUAUAUAAGGAUCCAAUCAUUGCCAUAAUCAUUCUGAAAACUCUUGAGUUCCCUUUUGUAUCAGAGUGAUUUCGGAUGACAAAGUGUCACAUCUUUCGAUCUCGUUGAUAAUGGAUAAUACAACUACUCAAUUUAUAGUCGUUUUCUUGGGACCAUGUUCGAAUUUGUUGCGGAGUAUGUCUCACUAGCCAUAUUAGAUUUUUUUGAUGAGUUAAUCAUUAGACGCCUUCAACCAAGAAUUCAGUCAGCCCACUCUUGAUUCCCCUGAACUGCUCGCACGAAUGCCAUUCUGUUGUCGGUGCCUUCUCAUACAAAUUCCUCCAAGAGAUGAUAUUGUUUGACUUCAAUGUUUCUAGCCAGUGGUUAUAAUUUGUUAAUGUAUUUGGACAAUUGAGUAGGAGAGAAUUGUGAGUUAGAGAGAGAAAAUUAAAAUAUAUGAAAUUGCAAGGACAUUUGAUGAAAAUAACAAAAUGUAGGUAAGAUUAUUUUCAUAAAAUGACUAUUUCUUAUGAGAUUAUAAAAAAAAGGGUUAAUUGCAUAUAAUAUCAUGAACUUUGUCCGAAAUCUAUUUUCCUCACGAUCUUUAAAAAUUUCAUUUUUUAUCAAAUACUUUGACAUUUGUUUAAUUUUCCCACGAUUUUUUAUUCGAUGACCGUAAAAAUGACCUAGCAGUGACGUGGAUUUAAUUUUACACGUAACACUGACGUGGAAUAUAUAUGAAUUUUAAAUUACACAUAUAAUAUUAAAUUAUAAUAAAAAACCCUAAUUUCUUCUAAUUUCUCAUUUUUAUCGGGCAAAAUAAAAUCAAAGAUUGCUUUUGGCACUAGAAAAAAAUGAUUGCUUUCCUUUCCACCACCUCUGUCGAAAGGUUCCUCUCCAAACCAGUGUGGAAGUCUUCGUGUCGAGGUCUUCCAAACCGGUGGCGCUGAUUGUUCGUUGAUUGCUGGCGCCGAUUGCUUCGUGUUUCCAAUCUUCCAAACUAGUGCACCGAUUGUUGGUGCCGGUGCUUCGUCCAUUGGUGGCGCUGAUUGCUGAAAUGAGGGUUUUAAUGUUUAAACUGAUUUCGAUUCCGAUUCCAGCAAGCCACAUCAGCGCCACGUCGAUUCCGAUUUGAGGGUAAAAAAAUCGUGGGAAAAUUAAACAAAUGUCAAAGUAUUUGAUAAAGAAUGAAAUUUCUAAAGAUCGUAGGAAAAAUGGAUUUCAGGCAAAGUUUGUGAUAUUAUAUGUAAUUAACCCUAAAAAAUAAAUUGGAAUUUAUUUAAUGAGGGCUUAUAAAUUGUAAAAACGUUUUUUAAAGAGCUAAUAAGUUCAUCCAAAUACUCUCUAAACCUUCCAUCUGUGAAAAUACCAAAAUACAUAGCAUGAUAAUUUAUAUUUCUUGAUGCCACUGAAAUACCAUUCAUAUAGGCAAAUAUAAAUAAAAAAUAACCUUGAAUUGGAAAGUGCAAGUUAAAAGGGUCGUUCACAAUGGAAUUUCAAUUGAACAUAACGAUGAAAUUUCCUUCUCGUUAAUUCCCUCGUCAUGUUAGUUAUCUCAAUAUAAAAAGUCCCCCAUGCUGCUUCCUUUAAUUUAAAGGUAUAGCUAAUUUGCAUUGCCUUUAGCCCCAGUAGGACAAAGUUAGGAAGACGUGUAAAUUGGGUAUUUUCGAUACAUAUAUAUAUACACUUAUUAUAAAAAUAUCUUUAUUUUACAAAAUUUGAUUUGCUGAUUUAUGAUAUAAUGUAUUUAUAUAUUAGUAUUAUAUUAUAAGUGUGUGUAUUCGCAUAGUUUGAUUAUACCUAUAUGUCAUUAUAUUGCUUAAUUUAAUUUUUGAUAUUUUAGUAAUUUAAUGUUGUAUAUAAAAUUUAUUUUGUACUAUUAUUUUUCACAUAUCACGUACCGAAUUAAUGACAUAUAGCCUAUAGGUAUAAUCAAAAUAUUUGUCUAUAAAAUUUGAUUUGCUUAUUUAGUUCGGUAUGUGAUAUGAAAAAACUAAUAAAAAUAAAUAACUGUUGAUUAUUUAAAACAUAUUAAAUAAAUUUAAAUAUUUUAAUUACUCUGCUUCCUUGAAAAUAAGGCGUGUACCUAAACGUUUAUGAACUUCCUUUUAUUUUAGUUUUCUUAAUUCUGACAUGUAAAAGUUUCCAAAUUAUGUACUCAUAUGUAUUUUAUCUUCGGAAUUUAUUAAUAGGAAAUAUUAAUUAUAUAGAAUUUUAUUUUAUUUUCGUAGGUUUUCUCUUCUUUUUGUUCUCAAUAAAUUUUUUUAUUUCAUACCAAAUGUAGAAAAUGAAUUUGUAGUUAAAGUACAGUCCAAAUGUAGAAAAUGAAUAUUUUUUGUGGGACAUACAAAAAUGAAAAAAAAAUUUAAUACUUUUAAGUUUUAAGGAACAAAUGGAGUAUAUUAUAAUUUAUUUUAAAAUGAAAUCAUUAAGUCAAAUAUUUUACAAGAUAAUUAUAAGUUAAUUUGAGUGAUGGAAGCAGAAUUUUGAAUUUGGAAUGCGAUAAAUAGUUACAUAAAUAUAAAGUGUGAAUGGAUGCGUCGAACAACGGACAACACAGAGAAAAUUGGAGUCGAAAGCUAAUCAUAUGAAGCUAGUUAUAUAAUAAUAAACGAAGCCAACGUCGAUCUUAAAUUAACUAACCAUGUUGGUUGUUGCAAUACUGCUGGAGAGAUUAUGCAACUAUAAGAGACAAAAGAGCACCCCUUCCACAUGACUAGCUUAAUUAUUACUAAGAUUCCUCAUAUUCAUUGGCUGUCACUAUGACUUGUAUAUAAACACACAGUUGAAGAGAUGCUAGAGCCUUCAACCCUCAUUGGACCAAACAAGCAAGCUAAGGCAUUGCAUGAAAAUGGUAAGUCUAUCUAUGCAAGAGCUUAUUCAGUAUUUUAGAAUUCCACAUGCAUUAAUUAACUCUCUUGAUUCCUGCUUUAGGGGAUUCUUGGAAAUGAAAACAUCCAACAUGGGCAGCAAGCAGGGGCCAAGGGAGGUAGAAGAGCAACCGUGUUUGUCUUUGGUACGUAAUUAAAUUGAGAAUAAAUCAAGAAAAGAGUAAUUAGUUUGUGAUUUAUGAUAUAUGCAAUGCAGCGAUGACAACGCUGGAGACAAUGGCGUUCCUUUCAAACGGAGUGAGCUUAGUGACUUACUUCUACGGUUACAUGAACUUCGGCUUAACCAAGUCUGCCACCACUCUUACAAACUUCAUGGGGACUGCCUUUCUCCUCUCUCUAUUCGGAGGAUUCAUCUCAGACACUUACUUGUCCAGGUUCAAGACUUGCAUCCUCUUCGGCUGCUUCGAAAUACUGGUAAUUAAUUACAAAAUUCACCUAUUUAUGUAAACUGAAAUGAUUUUGAUCAAAAUGAUGAAAUGGUUUGAAUUUGCAGGGGUACAGUCUGUUAGCAGUUCAAGCACACUUGAAACAGCUGAGGCCUUUGCCAUGCAAAGAUGCAACGAUUGGAUGUGAAUCAGCGAGCAGCAACCAAGAGGCGAUACUCUUCACAGGGCUGUAUUUGGUAGCACUGGGCACAGGAGGGAUCAAGGGGGCCCUGGCUUCUCUUGGAGCAGAUCAAUACGACGAAAGGGACCCUAAAGAGGCCGCGUCACUCUCGAGCUUCUUCAACUGGUACGUGUUCUCGGUCACAUUCGGAGGAAUGUUCGGGGUCACAUUUUUGGUGUGGUAAGCACCAACCAGGGCUGGGAUUGGUCGUUCGGAGUGUGUGGUCUAGCAGUGGCAGUAGCUAUUCUGUUACUCGCUAUGGGGAGAUCACUGUAUCGGACCAACGUGCCAAAAGGUACGAGCCCCUUAGUCCGAAUACUACAGGUACGUACGCAGCCUUAUAUCAGCACCAAUUUUUUUUCCAAACAUAUAACUUUCUUGGCUCAUACAAAGUUUUCAUUGUAUGACUAGGUAUUGGUAGUAGCAGUUAGAAACAGGAACUUACCUGUACCAAAGAUAGCACAAGAGCUCCAUGAAAUUCAUGAUAAAGAAGUAGGAAACAAUGAGAUUCUUCAGAGAACCGAUCAAUUCAAGUAAGGUUUCUUUCGUGUACAGGCACAUCAACAUGUUCUGUAAGGGUGCAUUCUUUUUAAUAGCAAAUUUAUUUUCCACCCUUUUUUGUCAACCAAAACUGAGAAGAAGCGGUUUCAGGUUGUUGGACCUUGCAGCGAUCCCAAGGAACUCGAACUCAGAAGAUUCAGAGUCAUGGAGAGUGUGCACAAUCACACAAGUGGAAGAAACGAAGAUCUUAAUGCGGAUGCUGCCGAUCAUAGUGAGCACUGUUUUCAUGAACACAUGCGUGGCUCAGCUGCAGACAUUUACAAUACAGCAAAGCAUGACAAUGGACAGAAGUUUAGGAAGCUUCCAAGUGCCAGGCCCCUCAAUCCCAGUGAUCCCCCUUGUAUUUAUGUCCAUACUUCUCCCGGCAUAUGACCGUUUCUUCGUCCCGCUGGCACGAAGGCUGACAGGCAUCCCGACAGGCAUUACACAGCUCCAAAGGGUCGGAGUGGGUCUAGUCCUCUCCAUAAUCUCCAUGGCGGUGAGUGGAGUCAUCGAGACACACAGGAAGAGCGUGGCUGUUGAGCACAACAUGGUGGACUCGGCGGGGCCUCUCCCAAUGAGUGUGUUCUGGCUGGGUAUACAGUAUGCAAUAUUCGGGAUGGCUGACACAUUUACGGUGGUGGGGCUGCUGGACUUCUUCUACGCGGAGAGCUCGGCCGGGAUGAAGUCGCUGGGCACCGCCAUCUCGAAGUGCUCCUUGGCAUUCGGCUACUACACCAGCACUAUGGUGGUCAAUGUGGUGAACAAGGCCAGCGGAGGAUGGCUGUCGAGCAACAACCUCAACACAGACAGAUUGGAGUAUUUCUACUGGUUGCUUGCGCUCUUGAGCGUUCUAAACUUCGGGGUGUAUUUGCUAUGCGCGUCGUGGUACAAAUACAAGAAGCUGCAAACGGAGAAGGCACCGGGCGCCUCUGUCGAUUAUGUCG
This 5682-nucleotide long non-coding RNA is filed under the name Salvia miltiorrhiza (redroot sage). RNAcentral's name for it is "long non-coding RNA (SMIL_LNC006175)". Lineage: Eukaryota; Viridiplantae; Streptophyta; Magnoliopsida; Lamiales; Lamiaceae. The record is from RNAcentral.